UAGGGUAUUUCAUGGAUUUGCCUGGGGUUAGAAGUGAAGUGAAGUGAAUAGAAAUGGAAGAUAAUAUUAAAAAGUAAAAAAACUGAAUAGAAAGAACUGAAAAAAGUGGAGAAAAGACUGAAUAAGAAAUUAAAAAGAAGCAAAACAAUAUAUAUGAGACACAAUUUAAAAUUGGACAACAUCCACUCAAAUCCUUUCCCAAACCUUCAUCUUAUGUUUAUAAAAACCUGCUUGUACAGUUAUUUAUAAGCAAGUCAUUGCAUUUAGAUAGAAGAUCCCCUUCAUAGAGAAAAUUUGAUCUUCCAUAAGAUGAAUCUUCUCCUCAUGAUUUAAAUAUUUUACAUAUGUUCUCCUCCCAUCAUCAGCAGAUAUGCAAAUACAAGCAUCAUGGCUAAACAUCACUCUAUUUAUGUGAUGCAACGGUCAAACUCUGUUAAACCUUGGAGAACAGAGAAGACCCCAGUGCAAACAACGGCCACCAUGUUCUCUACAUCUCUACUGCUCCUGCUGGCAGCUGCUUCCUAUGUGCAUGGUGUGGAACUGACUCAGCCUGCUUCCAUGACAGUCCAGCCAGGCCAGAGUCUCUCCAUCAACUGCAAAGUUUCAUAUUCAGUUACAAGCCAUCAUUCAGCUUGGAUCCGACAACCUGCAGGAAAAACUCUGGAAUGGAUUGGAUACAUCACUACUGGUGGGAGCACAGCUUACAGUGACAAACUGAAAAAUAAGUUCAGUUUCUCCAGAGACACGUCUACUAACACAAUAACAAUUCGAGGACAGAACAUGCAGACUGAAGACACAGCUGUGUAUUACUGUGCUCGUUACCCCCACAGUGAGACACAUCACCAACAUCCCUGUACAAAAACAUCCUGUACAGAAAACUGUUUCAGGAAAAGCAGAAAUACAGCAUUUUAUCAUUUUGGUGUGUUGUGUCCACUGUUGAUGAAUCAACAUGACACAAGUCCUAAAUGAAUACUGCUCAUCAUUUAUUAAAUCUGAUGAACUAUAUCCAAGCACAAGUGCCAACUCUCAACAUACUCCUUAAUUUAAAUGCUAUAGUAACUGCAGUGCAGGAGUAUCAUGGAUUAGCAGUAUUAUUUGACAGUCCAUAUCUGAUUACUUCUUCACCAGGAUUCUUCUUCACCUCCAUCUCCAUCAAUUGUUUGACAGGAUGAAGAAGUUAUCAUUAUGUGUAACUUGCUGAUUUUUUUUUACUUGGAUUAUUUUGAAACCUCAAAUUAAAUUAAUCUAAACACUGGACUGUAAAUGAAACAGUUUAGUCCACAUGUGAACACAAUAUGGAACGAUAGGGGGCGCUGUUGUACUGUGUUUCUCCUUAGUGUUAUAUAAUUUUUGCUUUUCAGUUUUGAAGUCAUAUAAAACACCAUCAGCGAGUACAUGUCAUUCUCAUGUAAUUUAUUAAUAGAAGAACAAAGUAAAGUAAGGAAGCAGUUUCAAU
This is a non-coding RNA of Silurus meridionalis, 1456 nucleotides long. Lineage: Eukaryota; Metazoa; Chordata; Actinopteri; Siluriformes; Siluridae. The record is from the annotation of a RefSeq genome assembly.